Cyprinus carpio (common carp) is the source of this 1284-nucleotide long non-coding RNA. Lineage: Eukaryota; Metazoa; Chordata; Actinopteri; Cypriniformes; Cyprinidae. The record is from Ensembl.
GGUGGUAUGACGUCAUAAAGCCGCGCCGCGCUGUGAUGCGACUGAAGGAAGAGUGCCAAACACAGAAAAACUGCUGAAGUAACUGAGAUCUACGUGACACGCUGUUAUAAAGAUGGCGUUUAUUAAAGAAGAGAGUGAAGACGUGAAGAUUGAAGAAACAUUCAGAGUCAAACAAGAAGAUACUGAGACACAAACAAAGAUGGAGUUUAUUAAAGAGGAGAUCGAAGAGCUGAAGAUUAAAGAAGUGUUCAGUCUGAAACAAGAAGAUACUGAAGAACAAACAGCUUCGGUACAAAACGAACAGGCGAACAGGAAUGAGAUAUACAGCUCUCUGUUUGCAGUUGCGUCAGUCAUGCUCAACAGGGAAGUGAGUGAAACACACACAAACACAUUUUUAUCAAAUAAUACAUCAUUAAUAGUAGUUCACUUCCGUGAUUUGGUAUGAUUGUGUUCACAUCAGCAGCGAACCGUACCAGAGUUCACAUGAACCGUACCCCAGACCACCGUUUUUAAGUGGACUCGGGUACAGUUCGCUGGUGUGCACCCAAAUUCGGAAGACAGCGUUCCAUCGUCCAAUAGAACUGAACUCUGAUGUCAAUCCAACCCGGGUGCGCACCAAAAGUGCUCGUGUGAAAGCACCCUUAACCUUCUUCUCAACUUCAUUCAUUUGCUUACUCGAUCCUUCUUGUUAAAUCUUGUGUGUCGAGACCCACAGGAUCCCAGUCCCAAAGCAGUUCCCUUUCGAUACUUCACUCAUACUGCGUAUGAGGAAAAGCUCCUUUUUUCCUCGAUACUGAAGCCUUUUUUCAAUAACGCAGUGCAACUGCACUGCCGUUGGUUUAAUCUGUAAACUUUUUUAAACCAAUGACAGCGCUGCGGCUGCAGCCAAAAUGGGCGGGGCGAAUGGCUAUAUAAGCAGGCAAAACGCCAGAAGAAAUCAGAUCUUACUCCUUCAGAGACGACUUCACUUCGCUGGAUCCCUAUUGAACGCUUUCCCCUGGAACGAGCUCUCGCCGUCGAAGAGGCACCGCAGCGGAUCAGCUGAGAUCGCCGAUCGCCUGCAGCGCCGGCGCUCUUGUGGACAGCCGCUCUCUAGCGCCGUUCCCGAGCCGCCCGCUUCUCACUUCCGGCCGCUUCUCAGCGGAUCUCCUGCCGCCAUCCAGCGAUUCUAAAAGAGCAAUUUCCAGUGGUUUUCACCGCUCUAAAAGAUUGUUUCUAAUGCCGUUUUCACAGCGGCGGCAUCUGAGCAAAUGCCACUCCACAGCUGUGGCACAUGCAGAGCCC